This 498-nucleotide ribosomal RNA is filed under the name uncultured bacterium. RNAcentral's name for it is "bacterial SSU rRNA". It matches the Rfam family "Bacterial small subunit ribosomal RNA", at positions 28 to 514 of the family's 1533-position model. The record is from RNAcentral.
GAUGAACGCUAGCUACAGGCUUAACACAUGCAAGUCGAGGGGCAGCAUGAACUUAGCUUGCUAAGUUUGAUGGCGACCGGCGCACGGGUGAGUAACACGUAUCCAACCUUCCGUUUACUCAGGGAUAGCCUUUCGAAAGAAAGAUUAAUACCUGAUAGUAUGGUGAGAUUGCAUGAUAACACCAUUAAAGAUUUAUUGGUAAUGGAUGGGGAUGCGUCUGAUUAGCUUGUUGGCGGGGUAACGGCCCACCAAGGCGACGAUCAGUAGGGGUUCUGAGAGGAAGGUCCCCCCACAUUGGAACUGAGACACGGUCCAAACUCCUACGGGAGGCAGCAGUGAGGAAUAUUGGUCAAUGGACGAGAGUCUGAACCAGCCAAGUAGCGUGCAGGAUGACGGCCCUAUGGGUUGUAAACUGCUUUUAUAAGGGAAUAAAGUGAGUCUCGUGAGACUUUUUGCAUGUACCUUAUGAAUAAGGACCGGCUAAUUCCGUGCCAGCAG